GAUCAUUGGCUCAGGAUGAACGCUAGCUACAGGCUUAACACAUGCAAGUCGAGGGGCAGCAUUUUAGUUUGCUUGCAAACUAAAGAUGGCGACCGGCGCACGGGUGAGUAACACGUAUCCAACCUGCCGAUAACUCGGGGAUAGCCUUUCGAAAGAAAGAUUAAUAUCCGAUAGUAUAUUUUCUCCGCAUGGCGAGAAUAUUAAAGAAUUUCGGUUAUCGAUGGGGAUGCGUUCCAUUAGUUUGUUGGG
Molecule: ribosomal RNA, 249 nt
Filed under: uncultured bacterium
Lineage: Bacteria
Description: partial 16S ribosomal RNA
Rfam family: Bacterial small subunit ribosomal RNA
Source: RNAcentral